GGGAGGUUGCUGAGACAUGCUGCAGCCUGCUGUGAAUGGAGAGCUGCGCUGUGAAGGAAUCAUAGGAUCAUAUAAACAUAAAGUUGGAAGGGAUCUCGAGAAGUCAUCAAGUCCACCAAGUCUUCACUGAUACCAGCUACGAACAAGUAAAUUAGAGGAUGUAACCACAUAAUCUAUUUGAUCACAGGACGCAGCCAUGAGAAAAAGCAAGGUGAUACCAACAAAAGAUGUAUAAGUCAUUGGAAAAAUGUAACAAAGGUCUCCCUUUCAAGAAUUGUCUAUAGGAAAUUCAAGCUGGACUGAAUAAAGUGAGUCCAUCUUUCAGACAAAAAAAUGGAUCAUUCUGCAAAGCUUUAUAGGUGAGGUGAUGGAGGACCAAGAAUAAAAACUUGAAGUUAAUAUCAGCUUCUAAACUGAGGUUUUUGUAAUUAGAGUAAUAAAAUGCUAACAUUAAAUUUCAUAGGGUUGGUUUUUGGAUACACAUUGUUCUGUGAAAGAGUUAUUUUUUCA
This is a long non-coding RNA of Mauremys mutica (yellowpond turtle), 510 nucleotides long. RefSeq lists it as uncharacterized. The record is from RefSeq and is a predicted model, not a curated record. NCBI's taxonomy places the organism in Eukaryota, Metazoa, Chordata, Testudines, Geoemydidae. The transcript has 4 exons.